GGAUAUCUCACACUCAUAGCUCACUUUGUUGACAAAGAAUGGAAAAUGCACAAAAGAAUUUAAAAUUUUUGUCAUAUGCCUCCUCCACAUACCGGGGUUGCUUUGUUUGAAAAAAUUAACGCCUUAUUAGUUGAGUGGGGGAUUGAAAAGAAAUUGUUUUCCAUUACUUUGGAUAAUGCCUUUGCAAAUGAUUGUUCUGCUGAGCUAUUGAAGAAACAAUUAAAUUUUAGAGGUUUGCUAUUAAUGGAUGGAAAGUUCUUACAUGUUCGUUGUUGUGCUCACAUCCUAAACUUGAUAGUCCAAGAUGGACUAAAGGAAAUUGAUGGAUGAGUGAUGAAAGUUCGUGAGUGCAUCAAAUAUAUAAAGUGUUCAGAAGCGAGAAAAAAUAAGUUUAUUGCUUGCGUUGCAUAAGUAGGAUUGGCAAGUAGUAAAAGAUGGUUGAGACAAGAUGUGCCUACUAGAUGGAAUUCAACAUAUACAAUGCUGAAUAGUGCUAUUUUCUAUCGUCGUGUUUUUCUCAAUUUGGCACUUGUUAAUUCUAAUUUUAAUUCAUGUCCUUCAUUCGAAGAGUAGGAUAAAAUAAAGAAGAUUUCCAAUUUCUUGGGGUAUUUUUAUGAAGUUACUUGCUUAUUUUCCGGAACAAAUUACCCUACAUCAAACUUGUUUUUCCCAAAAGUGUUCAACGUCCAUUAUUGUAUUCAAGAUGCUAUGGAAGAUUGUGAUGAUUUCAUGAGACGGAUGGGGAGUUAUAUGAAUUUGAAGUUUGAAAAAUAUUGGUCAGAGUAUAGUUUGAUUCUUGCUGUUACAGUGAUUCUUGAUCCUCGCUAUAAAUUGGAAUUUGUAGAGUGGGGUUAUGACAAGCUUUAUGGUAAGGAUUCUAGAGAGUUGAAGGAUGUUAGUGGCACAUUGUUUGCACUCUUUGCUCAUUACAUGGACAAAUUCUCUCAUCUUCUUGUAUCCAACCAAGUCAAUCAAACUCCUACUCAAAGAAAAGUUGGAGACAAACUUUUUGAGGAAUUUGAUAAUAUUUACCAAGAUGGGUCAACUUUAAAUGAAAAAAAACUGAAUUACAUCUAUAUCUUGAAGAAAAGAGACUUGAUAGAAAACAGGAGUUGGAUAUUCUUUCAUGGUGGAAAUUGGAGCGAUUUCGUUAUCCUGUACUUUCUUGUAUGGCUUCUGAUGUGUUAACAAUUCCCAUCUCAACUGUUGCCUCGGAAUCAGCAUUUAGUAUUAAUGGUAGGGUGCUUGAUCAAUAUCGAAGUUCUUUGUUGCCUGAAACCGUUCAAGCCUUGCUAUGUACUAGAGAUUGGCUUUUUGGCAAAGGAGCUUUAGAGAAAGAGGGUGCUGACUUGGAAGAACUCACUGAAGAAAUUUUUGACAUGAGCCUUAACGAAAACUCGGGACAAUGCUCCAAUAGUAUUAGCCUUGAUUAAGAAAGAUUUUUGGGUGUUCGAUAUGCAAAUUCUUCCUUAAAGUAGCGAUGUAAUUGGGCGGUACAUCUUGGUGAUGUUGAAUACGUCAUAAGAUGUUAGAUUGUUAGUUAAUUAGUUGAUUUGGAAAACCCUUACUGAG
Malus domestica (apple) is the source of this 1572-nucleotide non-coding RNA. NCBI's taxonomy places the organism in Eukaryota, Viridiplantae, Streptophyta, Magnoliopsida, Rosales, Rosaceae. The record is from RefSeq and is a predicted model, not a curated record.